This 492-nucleotide ribosomal RNA is filed under the name uncultured bacterium. RNAcentral describes it as "partial 16S ribosomal RNA". It matches the Rfam family "Bacterial small subunit ribosomal RNA", at positions 29 to 507 of the family's 1533-position model. The record is from RNAcentral.
AGUGAACGCUGGCGGUAGGCCUAACACAUGCCAGUCGAACGGCAGCACAGUAAGAGCUUGCUCUUACGGGUGGCGAGUGGCGGACGGGUGAGGAAUACAUCGGAAUCUACUUUUUCGUGGGGGAUAACGUAGAGAAACUUACGCUAAUACCGCAUACGACCUACGGGUGAAAGCAGGGGAUCUUCGGACCUUGCGCGAUUGAAUGAGCCGAUGUCGGAUUAGCUAGUUGGCGGGGUAAAGGCCCACCAAGGCGACGAUCCGUAGCUGGUCUGAGAGGAUGAUCAGUCACACUGGAACUGAGACACGGUCCAGACUCCUACGGGAGGCAGCAGUGGGGAAUAUUGGACAAUGGGCGCAAGCCUGAUCCAGCCAUACCGCGUGGGUGAAGAAGGCCUUCGGGUUGUAAAGCCCUUUUGUUGGGAAAGAAAAGCAGCAGGUUAAUACCCCGCUGUUCUGACGGUACCCAAAGAAUAAGCACCGGCUAACUUCGUG